RNAcentral lists this ribosomal RNA (681 nucleotides) under uncultured bacterium. RNAcentral describes it as "bacterial SSU rRNA". It matches the Rfam family "Bacterial small subunit ribosomal RNA", at positions 1 to 693 of the family's 1533-position model. The record is from RNAcentral.
GCCCUUGAGUUUGAUCCUGGCUCAGGGUGAACGCUGGCGGCGUGCUUGACACAUGCAAGUCGAACGGUAUGUGGCAACACAUAGAGUGGCGAACGGGUGAGUAACACGUGGGAACGUACCAUCUGCAGGGGGAUAACUGACCGAAAGGACAGCUAAUACCGCAUAAGUCCGGAAGGAGAAAGGUGCAAUAGCAUCGGCAAAAGAGCGGCCCGCGGUCCAUCAGCUAGUUGGUGAGGUAAGGGCUUACCAAGGCGACGACGGAUAGCCGGCGUGAGAGCGUGGCCGGCCACAAGGACACUGAGAUACGGGUCCUACUCCUACGGGAGGCAGCAGUGCGGAAUUUUAGAUAAUGGAGGGAACUCUGAUCUAGCGACGCCGCGUGCAGGAAGAAGGUCUUCGGAUUGUAAACUGCUGUGGUAAGGGAAAAAUGCUAUGUAGAGUGGAAAGCUACAUAGAGGGAUGGUACCUUACUAGAAAGCCCCGGCUAACUACGUGCCAGCAGCCGCGGUAAUACGUAGGGGGCGAGCGUUACCCGGAAUCACUGGGCGUAAAGGGAGCGUAGGUGGCCUAACAUGUCAACUGUGAAAACCCGGAGCUCAACUCCGGACUUGCAGUUGAAACUGGUAGGCUUGAGGACGGUAGAGGAAGACGGAACUGCCAGUGUAAGGGGUAAAUCCUUAG